This is a non-coding RNA of Triticum urartu, 1252 nucleotides long. The record is from RefSeq and is a predicted model, not a curated record. NCBI's taxonomy places the organism in Eukaryota, Viridiplantae, Streptophyta, Magnoliopsida, Poales, Poaceae.
GCCGACUGUAAAAUAUCCUCCAGAAGUUCGCCCUUCACGGCAGACCGUAUUUCCCCAACUAAAAGCCAAACCAAACGAUGAACAAACUUGAAAUCCCCCUCCCGGUUUCCUCUCUUCGCACCUCCGCCCUGAAGGAUCGACGCUCCGGCAGGCCAAGGUUUGGGCUCCCCCUCCCUUCUCCGUCAAUCCACUCGCGGAUUAUCUUGUGCGCGGCUUAAUCGUUGCUGUGUGCUGGUCUUUCCCGUGGAGGACUUGCUCUGGGGACUGGGGUUAGGUUUUCAGGCGUCGUCUGCGAUUCUCGGUUGUUCCUGUCUCCACGAGUUGGUCGUCCCCAAGGAAUGCGAGUCUGGACUGGAUACACUCCUUCGCUUUUGUUCUGUGUGAUAAAAGAUUUAUAGCUUAUAAUAUCACAGCAAUGUAUACAACUGUGCAAACAUACUUUAUCUUAGGUUUUUUAAAACAGUUUCCGCUUAUUUUUCAGUGCCAUUUAGAAGAUGUUGGUGGCCAGAGAACAAAGCAAGUCACCGACCCAUGCUCAAGGUCUGCUGGAAUAUACACUAAAACUUCAUGCUGUGCCAUUUAGAAGAUGUGUUGGUGGCCAGAGAACAAAGCAAGUCACCAACCCAUGCUCAAGGUCUGCUGGAAUAUACACUAAAACUUCAUGCUGUUGGACAAUCAAGAAGCUGGUUUGCUACAAAGCUUUGUAGCAUCAAGUAGAUACUUUGGAAUGUUCUCGCAGCCUCCAUCUUCAGAUCAGCAACAGUAGCUGUUUGCGGAAGUGUUAAAAGUUCUGCUGGGAGGCUGGGUGGAUCACCAACCUGAUCCAAUAGCUCCACUUGGCACCAGAUGUGCAGCACAGAUUGGUUUUGAGUGAUAUUGUUGCCUUAUUAGAUUGCAAAUACUGAACAUUGGUGAUAAAACCAACCUUGUCUCAAACAAUUGAACCAUCAGGCCACAACGCCGGCAGGUUUUGCAGCUGGCCGUUUUGUCAUUCCGAAUUAUGAAGUGAAACUUCUUCCCACAAACUGGGUGCCUGCUCCAGCCUAUCAGAGUUGAACAAAUUAAUGACAUCAAUUUGGCUCCAAGAUGUAAUUCAACAGUCAUGGUCAUGCCAUUAUCUAUUUGUCAGGAGAUGUGGCUUUAAGUUCCCGAACAGGUAGUUCAUCAAUUUAUAAUGAAUUACGUGUUAAACUUGAAAGAGUGAGGCUAUUAGGAAUAGGCUGUUCAUUUUGACAGCCUCUGUUCCCUCUCA